ACCUGACGGACCAGCAGCUGAUGCAGGUGGCCAAACGCAUGGGGAGGGAGUGGAAGGUCGUGGCCAUCAGCUGUCUGGGCCUCAGCAAGCAGGACCUGGAGGAGAUGGAGGUCGCCGAGGAGAGCGUGACCAUGCUGAAGUUCAACAUGCUGGAGCGCUGGAGACGACGACAGCCCAAGGGGAAAGCGGGAAUUCAGGAUCUCCUCAAGUGUUUGAAAGACAACGAUGACGUGCCGAAUGAGGUCAUUGCUGCGCUGGACGAGAUGCUACAAAAGAACUCAGCCACAUGAACAUUAGCUGUCUGGAGUCUGUGGACUGACAGAUGGUCAGGAGUCAUCUUAACCACUGUUCGAGAGCGAUGGAGACGUCCUGGAAGAGCAGGCCGGUCGCGCUCAAGUCUGGACGGAGAUGUUUGUGCUCCGACUGGAAUCUGGUGCUUUCAGGAAAACUGAGCUCUGAAUACACCAGACACGCUUAGUAUGUCUGUAGACUUGUACACUUUGCAUGCAUCUCUUUAUUUUGCGCUUGUGUUUGUAUAUAUUUUAAGAUACUGUACAUAUUUGAAUGUCUUUGUAAGGACUGUACAGUAAGUAGAACUCUGUUUGUUUUGUUGCAUUAUGAGAUUAAGUGAUCAUCUGCACUUGUUUUUGAGGAACAGGCUGAUUUUGAUCUCAGGUGCCAUCGGUCUCUGAUGGUUAUGGACUGACGUUAUAGUAAAUAUGAUAUCAUGAUAUUCAUGCAGAUACGGGCUCCUCCGCACAUGUGACUCUGGUGGAGAAUCUUUUCUCGGUCUCUGAAGCGUUUGUUGGGGAACCCGUACGAUGUGCUGUCUCAGGGGAGUCUUUAUUCGGACCUUUCUUUAAAUCAAUAAAUCAUGAAAAUGAAUGAAAACACAAAUUGUUCUUCCGUCAUAAACCAGAGCAUUUCAGGACAAGUUACAUUUUGCAGUUUAGUUUCAAUCAACACUCUUUUAAGAGUCCAUGCUCAGGCGGUAAUUAAGCAUCAGCACACUGGUAGUUCAUGAUUAACUGAACAUGUACUAAAGGCAGGUCAGCACUAGCUCUGCGGUAGUUAAGCACGAACACACCAGUAAUCAACAAUUAACUGAACAUACACACAAGGGC
RNAcentral lists this long non-coding RNA (1124 nucleotides) under Sinocyclocheilus grahami. RNAcentral describes it as "lncRNA (ENSSGRG00000004596.1)". Lineage: Eukaryota; Metazoa; Chordata; Actinopteri; Cypriniformes; Cyprinidae. The record is from RNAcentral.